RNAcentral lists this small RNA (879 nucleotides) under Oscheius onirici. Its description in RNAcentral is "eukaryotic LSU rRNA". The stretch from base 440 to 589 matches the Rfam family "5.8S ribosomal RNA". The record is from RNAcentral. Lineage: Eukaryota; Metazoa; Nematoda; Chromadorea; Rhabditida; Rhabditidae.
GUUUCCGUAGGUGAACCUGCAGGUGGAUCAUCGCUGAUUCCUAAUGGAUUCUAGCUUUGGCCUUGAUCAGUCGUUGCCGCAAUAGAAGUAGAGCUCUUGAUCUUUACUUCUGCGACUUUGAUCAACCUCAGCAUGUACAACCACGAGGUUUCCCAAAGGUUUUGCUAGCGGCACUGGUUGGACCGUCGCUAUUUUUUUAAUAGCGUAAUAGCAAAAGAACUUACGACCUUUAGUCGUGAACGUAGGGAAAUAACGAAACUGCAUACCGUUUCACCUCGAAUCAUAUAGAUUUAGCUGGCUAUUUCAACUUUUGAAAUAAAAAGUGAGUCUUAAUGACUGGUCAUUUUUUUGACUGGCGGCUAUAUUCUAUAUAACUAUCUAAAGUUUAAUUUUUGCGUUGACCGUUUAUAUUCUUUUUUUGAAUGUAACGAUCCUUGACUACCUUUAGGGAUUGAUCGGUUGCUUCCUUAAUCGAUGAAGAGCGGAGCUAGCUCCGUUAUUUACCACGAAUUGCGAACGCUUUGAGUGGCAAAAUCUUGAAUGCACAGCACCGCUGGCUUCGGCUAACGGUACGUCUGCAUCAGGGAAGUAUUAAAUACUACCAGUAGCUGGAUGCUGGUCUGUCGGACGGCUAUGGCAGGGCCUAUUUGUGCCAUACCCGUCUUAGCUCAGAAUAAUAAUUGCAACAUCGUACGAGUCUACAAACUCAUACGAACUGUAGUCUGGCGAGAGCUUAACUGCACUGCCAAAUAACUGCCAUGAAAGCUUGACAAUGGUAUCUGUUAUUUGGUUGCCCUUGUGGUGUAGUUUCAAUCUUGUUAUUGGAUCUUAAGAAUUGCUUCCUGAUGUCAGUCGUGAUUACCGCUGAACUUAAGCAUA